GUGAAAUCAACAAAACAAAAAACUCCCAAAAUACACCUACACACACAUCAAUCACAGAAAUUGAAUUCAGCUAAUCAUGCAAGCCAUUAGCUUAAAGCACACAAAGAGAAACACAACAAGGAAACUCCCAUACACAACCACACAAAUUUUUAAUCCUUAAAUCUUACACACAUACAACUUUAGAAUCCUUAAUUCCCCCUACACUGCAAGUCAUUCUCGGAGCACAUCGCACAUAAGUUUCAUAGAGACCAAUGAAUCACAAACCACACUAAAGGAAGAACCCAAGGAAUUUUUCAACGUAAAGUUACAAAGCCCUAAUUUAUGUAAAAAUUUAAAAAUGACACAAGAAGAAUCCAGAGACAAUCUCAAUGAAAGACACCAACUGAGAGCCUAUGACAACAUAUAUUUAGAGUUUCAAAGAAUCCAACAAAAGGAAAUAAUCUUCCUUUCAAGCAUUCAACCACAAUGCAUGUCAAAAUUAAAUUACAGAAAUUGAACCUAGCAAACCAAUCUGCCCUGUAACAAAUAAAGUGAAACCAACAAAAUAAAAACCUCCCUAAACACAUACCUACGAACACAAGAGGCACAAAAAUUGAAUUCACUGCUUAAAGCACACAAGGAGAAAAAUAAUAGGGAAACUCCCAUACACACAGCCACAUAAAUUUUUAAUCCUUAAAUGCUACACAACCAUAGAAAUUUAGAAUCUUUAAUUCCUCCUACACUACAAAACAACAAGGAAACUCCCAUACACAUAUUUAGAGUUUCAAAGAAUCCAGCAAAAGGAAAUAAUCUUCCUUUUAAACAUUUGACCACAAUGCAUGUCAAAAUUAAGUUUCAAAAAUUGAACCCAACGAACCAACCUGUUCUGUAACAAACAAAGUGAAAUCAACAAAACAAAAAACUCCCAAAAUACACCUACACACACAUCAGGCACAGAAAUUGAAUUCAGCUAAUCAUGCAAGCCAUUAGCUUAGAGCACACAAAGAGAAAAACAAGGAAACUCCCAUACACAGCCACACAAAUUUUUAAUCCUUAAAUCCUACACACAUACUACUUUAGAAUCCUUAAUUCUCCUUACACUGCAAGUCAUUCUCGGAGCACAUCGCACAUAAGUUUCAUAGAGACCAAUGAAUCACAAACCACACUAAAGGAAGAACAACCCAAGGAAUUUUCCAAAGUAAAGUUACAAAGCCCUAAUUUAUGUAAAAAUUUAAAAAUGACACAAGAAGAAUCCAGAGACAAUCUCAAUGAAAAAGACACCAACUGAGAGCCUAUGACAACAUAUAUUUAGAGUUUCAAAGAAUCCAGCAAAAGGAAAUAAUCUUCCUUUCAAGCAUUCAAGCACAAUGCAUGUCAAAAUUAAAUUACAGAAAUUGAACCUAGCAAACCAAUCUGUCCUGUAACAAAUAGAGUGAAACCAACAAAAU
Molecule: long non-coding RNA, 1427 nt
Filed under: Durio zibethinus
Lineage: Eukaryota; Viridiplantae; Streptophyta; Magnoliopsida; Malvales; Malvaceae
Description: long non-coding RNA (DZIB_LNC000838)
Source: RNAcentral